Molecule: non-coding RNA, 74 nt
Organism: Ictalurus furcatus (blue catfish)
Lineage: Eukaryota; Metazoa; Chordata; Actinopteri; Siluriformes; Ictaluridae
Source: the annotation of a RefSeq genome assembly
GGCCAGUUAGCUCAGUUGGUUAGAGUGUGGUGCUAAUAAUGCCAAGGUCAUGGGUUCAAUUCCCAUACCGACCA